GACGAACGCUGGCGGCGCGCCUAACACAUGCAAGUCGAACGGAGUCAAGAGGAGCUUGCUUUUCUUGACUUAGUGGCGAACGGGUGAGUAACGCGUGAGUAACCUGCCCUGGAGUGGGGGACAACAGUUGGAAACGACUGCUAAUACCGCAUAAGCCCACGGAUCCGCAUGGCUCUGCGGGAAAAGGAUUUAUUCGCUUCAGGAUGGACUCGCGUCCAAUUAGCUAGUUGGUGAGGUAACGGCCCACCAAGGCGACGAUUGGUAGCCGGACUGAGAGGUUGAACGGCCACAUUGGGACUGAGACACGGCCCAGACUCCUACGGGAGGCAGCAGUGGGGGAUAUUGCACAAUGGGGGAAACCCUGAUGCAGCGACGCCGCGUGGAGGAAGAAGGUUUUCGGAUUGUAAACUCCUGUCGUGAGGGACGAUAAUGACGGUACCUAACAAGAAAGCACCGGCUAACUACGUG
Molecule: ribosomal RNA, 468 nt
Filed under: uncultured bacterium
Lineage: Bacteria
Description: partial 16S ribosomal RNA
Rfam family: Bacterial small subunit ribosomal RNA
Source: RNAcentral